RNAcentral lists this ribosomal RNA (492 nucleotides) under uncultured bacterium. RNAcentral's name for it is "partial 16S ribosomal RNA". It matches the Rfam family "Bacterial small subunit ribosomal RNA", at positions 29 to 507 of the family's 1533-position model. The record is from RNAcentral.
AGUGAACGCUGGCGGUAGGCCUAACACAUGCAAGUCGAACGGCAGCACAGUAAGAGCUUGCUCUUACGGGUGGCGAGUGGCGGACGUGUGAGGAAUACAUCGGAAUCUACUUUUUCGUGGGGGAUAACGUAGGUAAACUUACGCUAAUACCGCAUACGACCUACGGGUGAAAGCAUGGGAUCUUCGGACCUUGCGCGAUUGAAUGAGCCGAUGUCGGAUUAGCUAGUUGGCGGGGUAAAGGCCCACCAAGGCGACGAUCCGUAGCUGGUCUGAGAGGAUGAUCAGCCACACUGGAACUGAGACACGGUCCAGACUCCUACGGGAGGCAGCAGUGGGGAAUAUUGGACAAUGGGCGCAGGCCUGAUACAGCCAUACCGCGUGGGUGAAGAAGGCCUUCGGGUUGUAAAGCCCUUUUGUUGGGAAAGAAAAGCAGCAGGUUAAUACCCCGCUGUUCUGACGGUACCCAAAGAAUAAGCACCGGCUAACUUCGUG